UACGUAGGGUGCAAGCGUUGUCCGGAAUUAUUGGGCGUAAAGAGCUUGUAGGCGGUUUGUCGCGUCUGCUGUGAAAUUUCGGGGCUCAACCCCGAACUUGCAGUGGGUACGGGCAGACUAGAGUACUGCAGGGGAGACUGGAAUUCCUGGUGUAGCGGUGAAAUGCGCAGAUAUCAGGAGGAACACCGGUGGCGAAGGCGGGUCUCUGGGCCGAAUACUGACGC
RNAcentral lists this ribosomal RNA (224 nucleotides) under uncultured bacterium. RNAcentral describes it as "partial 16S ribosomal RNA". It matches the Rfam family "Bacterial small subunit ribosomal RNA", at positions 524 to 746 of the family's 1533-position model. The record is from RNAcentral.